Notolabrus celidotus (New Zealand spotty) is the source of this 682-nucleotide long non-coding RNA. RefSeq lists it as uncharacterized. Lineage: Eukaryota; Metazoa; Chordata; Actinopteri; Labriformes; Labridae. The record is from RefSeq and is a predicted model, not a curated record. The transcript has 2 exons.
GGCACGCUACCGAGCUCCGUCACAAGAUCCUACAGAGUUGUCAAUCAAAGCAAACCCAUGCCACAUCUGCUGCGGAGCUGCUGUGUAAUCCCUGACCAGGCUCCAGGAUGUGCUGUCGUCUGAGGCCAAAGACGUGGACUCAGAUGCUGGCGGGGCCCCCGGUAUGCGGAAUCCACUGCAGUCUGAAAUGCUAAUCGCUAAUGCUGCUCUGUGACCUGCAGGAAAUGUCAUUUCAGAAAAGGGACAGGGCACUUUGGUUAUACAGUGGUAAAAAAGGUUUUUCAAUGCCUCUGCCCACAGCGAUGCUGCCUGAAAAAUGAAGACUUUUUGGGUGACGUAUUGAAGUUAUCACAGCUCUUUCUGUGAUAACACCAAGAUAUGUGGGGAAUCUUACUAAAUCAAUAAGAGGAAUAAGAGUUUGCAAGGCACAAAGCACAGUAGAAUGGGUAUUGAUGGAUGGACCCAAAGUGUCAUAUUGCCUCGGCCUAGUCAUGUCAGAAAGAUUAUACCAAUGUGGAAAACUGAAUACAGGAGCUAAGCAGAGUAUUUGUCAUUGCUAGAGGGUGAUGUUACUAGCUUUCAAUAUGCAACACAAAAGGUGUGAAGUGAAUUUUCUCAACAACAUUUCAAACAUACAAAGCACACAUUCAUUGUAAAAUAAAGUCAACCACAAAUGGCUCCA